This 342-nucleotide ribosomal RNA is filed under the name uncultured Methanomicrobiales archaeon. Its description in RNAcentral is "bacterial SSU rRNA". It matches the Rfam family "Archaeal small subunit ribosomal RNA", at positions 998 to 1338 of the family's 1478-position model. Lineage: Archaea; Methanobacteriati; Methanobacteriota; Methanomicrobia; Methanomicrobiales. The record is from RNAcentral.
CCGUCGUCAGUUCGUACUGUGAAGCAUCCUGUUAAGUCAGGCAACGAGCGAGACCCACGCCAGCAGUUGCCAGCUCGUCCUCCGGGGAUGGUGGGGACGCUGUUGGGACCGCCUCUGCUAAAGAGGAGGAAGGAAUGGGCAACGGUAGGUCAGCAUGCCCCGAAUUAUCUGGGCUACACGCGGGCUACAAUGGGUGGGACAAUGGGUAUCGACACCGAAAGGUGAAGGCAAUCUCCUAAACCCAUCCGUAGUUCGGAUUGUGGGCUGCAACUCGCCCACAUGAAGCUGGAAUCUGUAGUAAUCGUGUCCCAAAAUGGCACGGUGAAUAUGUCCCUGCUCCUU